This 67-nucleotide transfer RNA is filed under the name Marmota monax (woodchuck). Its description in RNAcentral is "tRNA.Ala". The record is from RNAcentral. Lineage: Eukaryota; Metazoa; Chordata; Mammalia; Rodentia; Sciuridae.
GUUGUGGCUCAGAGGUAGAGCACUUGCCUAGCAUGCGUGAGGCAGUGGGUUCGAUCCUCAGCACACA